CUGCUGCCUUCCGUAGGAGUUUGGGCCGUGUCUCAGUCCCAAUGUGGCCGGUCACCCUCUCAGGUCGGCUACUGAUCGUCGCCUUGGUGGGCUUCUACCCCGCCAACAAGCUAAUCAGACGCGGGCCCAUCCCGUACCACCGGAGUUUUUCACACAAAAGCAUGCGCUCUCGUGCGCUUAUGCGGUAUUAGCAGCCGUUUCCGGCUGUUAUCCCCCGGUACAGGGCAGGUUGCCCACGCGUUACUCACCCGUCCGCCA
Molecule: ribosomal RNA, 258 nt
Filed under: uncultured bacterium
Lineage: Bacteria
Description: partial 16S ribosomal RNA
Source: RNAcentral